GUGCCAGCAGCCGCGGUAAUACGAAGGGGGCUAGCGUUGCUCGGAUUUACUGGGCGUAAAGGGCGCGUAGGCGGAUUUCUAAGUCGGGGGUGAAAGCCCAGGGCUCAACCCUGGAAUUGCCUUCGAUACUGGAAGUCUUGAGUACGGGAGAGGUGAGUGGAACUCCGAGUGUAGAGGUGAAAUUCGUAGAUAUUCGGAAGAACACCAGUGGCGAAGGCGACUCACUGGCCCGUUACUGACGCUGAGGCGCGAAAGCGUGGGGAGCAAACAGGAUUAGAUACCCCUGUAGUCC
This 292-nucleotide ribosomal RNA is filed under the name uncultured bacterium. RNAcentral's name for it is "partial 16S ribosomal RNA". It matches the Rfam family "Bacterial small subunit ribosomal RNA", at positions 505 to 796 of the family's 1533-position model. The record is from RNAcentral.